AAACGCCCCCCCCCCCCCCCAGGACAACUGAACAGAGUGAAUACGCACGCUGAGAGGAGGAGUGUAGCCAGGGCCACACUAACCUUCACACUAUCCAGCUCCCGGGGCACAGACACAGACGCAGACGCGGGCAGCCGACUCGACGCAUUUAAUCCUCUCGGACCCGCGCCAUCGUCAUCGGCGGGGAGGAAAUGCUGAGCAUAUGGAACAAUCUGUGCUCAAACAUUAUUUAUUAGACACGGCACGGAUGCAGCGCGCGUGUGACCGUGUGCGACAGCUUGGGUGGGAGCUGGUGUUUGCCGACACAAUAUGUUGCCUCAUCUUGGUGACUCAGCGCGCGUUUGACCGCUCCGUCCCAGGGCAAACCACGCAGACGCAGGCCGCCCUCCGUGCGACUCUCUCGGAAACCCGGGCCACGCGAGCCUCUUUCAGGUGGCCUCCGCUCGCCUGUAGAAUGACCGAUUUUUCCCCUGGGCGGGCGCCAGGUAUAGCAGAAUGUAAUUAUCAUUUAUUUUUCCGCCGAAUGAAUGAAGCAGCAGGACAGCAUCGCGAGCCAGAGGAGAACGUGGAGAAGUGCCACAGUUCGCAGCAAGACAUCGACAGUCCUGGCUCACGUCUUCCUUCACAUGAUCCAGAGCGAAAACCCAAGCGGAUGCAUUGUUCCGCUGAGCGCUUCGGAGUGCAACGAAGGCAUCCCUUUUAUCGCGGUUUGGGGCGUAAACGCAGGCUGGAACGUGACGAGCGGACGGAAAGUGGGAAGUCCUUCCCUCACCUAGAGCAGCAGGCUGGUGAAGACAGAAAGACAGUCGCUUUGCCACCACAAGACAAAGUACAGUACCCAAAGCUGGCCUUUCACCUACGGUGGAUGCUGGGGUGCCGAUGAAUGACGUGGAUGAAAAUUAAGUUUGCUUGUUUGGGAGGCCUCACCCUCUGGAAUUCAUCUGUUUCGUUGAGUUUUGUGAGGAAAAAAAAAAAAGAAAAAGUUGUUACAUUUCAUGUCGAACGGGUUGCUGAACAUUUCCUGUUUUACCAUAGUAAAACAUUCUACGACCUACUCAUUACUGAAGAAAAAAAAAAAAAAAAAAAAAAAAAAAAAAAAACUCUCGGUAAUCAUAAUGCUGACAUUUACUUAUUUGCACCAAAAAUGUUUAUUUUACGGCGCUCCUCUACUUUUAAUACCUACAAGCAGAUUUAUUUUUACUCAGACACAUGCAUGUGCAAAAAUACAAAUAUGCAACAUACUGGAGAAUUUCUCUAUACAAAACAUUUGCAGUGGGGCAGAGUGCUAAUAGAGACAUUCAGUUCAGAGCUGGUUAACCAAGAGGAACAGGAACAAUUAUUGCUAUAGGUAGUGGUCGGAUACCAAACUGGAUUUUCCCAACUCAAAAAAGGCCUCACUAGGUGGAAAAACUAACUGUGAAGUGUGGACUGUGGAUUUCCUGAGUACACUAAUAUUACGCAUGACAAUAAGUCCUGAGAACAUGUGACGAUUUAACAAAAAAAUAAAUAAAUAAAAA
This 1517-nucleotide long non-coding RNA is filed under the name Scleropages formosus (Asian bonytongue). Its description in RNAcentral is "lncRNA (ENSSFOG00015028116.1)". The record is from RNAcentral. Lineage: Eukaryota; Metazoa; Chordata; Actinopteri; Osteoglossiformes; Osteoglossidae.